RNAcentral lists this long non-coding RNA (459 nucleotides) under Citrus x clementina. Its description in RNAcentral is "Citrus clementina (C. clementina) long non-coding RNA (CCLE_LNC002720)". Lineage: Eukaryota; Viridiplantae; Streptophyta; Magnoliopsida; Sapindales; Rutaceae. The record is from RNAcentral.
AAAAGGAUGGUAGGGAUGGUUUAGGUAUUUUUAAAAAUAUAGGGACUAAACGGACACUAACUUCAAAAUAUAAGGACUAAACGAGCUUUUACCUUAUUCUAUUGCUUCAUGAAAUGUGUAAAAACCUUUAACAUAUGGAUAAUUGAUCAUCAAAUCAAUUACCUGUUUCCACUGACUAUAAAUUCCUAGUUGUCUACCUCUAACUAAUACGAAAAAUGCAAAAGGUUUACUGUCUAUAUGUUCAUUAAUUUGUCUAAAAUAAUGCAUGAGUGCAUUGGCUACUUUUAGUUUAUCUUGUGGGUUAUUAACACACCACAAAUUAUCUAAAAUGCAUUGUUGGCUGUCUAAUAACUGAAAUUUGCUUUUAAAACUUAAAUUUAUUCCUGAUGGGAACUGUCUAUUGGUAAUGCUAAGGGUUUGAGAUUUUUAACUAUUCGUUUAAGUUUUUGAAUUAAUUUU